AAAAAUCUGAAUCCUUAACAACACUGAAAUUGAAAACCCUUAAUAUUACAUGACAUAGAAUGCGAUUUCGUAAUGUAAAUCUACAAAUUUAAAAACAAUUGAAUCAUUCACAGCACUGAAAUUCAAUCACACUAAAAUUACACGACACAGAAAACGAUUUACAAAUGUAAAAUUCCGUCAUUUAUGAUGCUUCUUUUUAUUUACAUCAUAUGUGAUGUAAUUUUACAGAUAUUUUUCGUAGAAGCAAAAAUAUCUGAACCCUUAAUAGCACUGAAAUUCAAUGACCUCAAUAUUACACGACAUGGAACGAGUUUUUGUCAUGUAAAUAAAAAAUGUUGAAUACUAAGCAGCACUGAAAAUUAAAUCUACUAAAAUUACGCGAUAUGGAUAAUUAUAAUAGAACGAAAAUUUAUUUUUGAUGUAAUUGUAAUGCAUUUCAAUACAAAUUGGUAUACGAAAAGUUUAAUCAAAAAGCGAAUGGUGAUCGCAGUUGUUCAGCAAUACCGUGAAAUACAAGCACAAGUAAAAUAUUGCUGGGCAUAUGAUGUAGACGUCGAUGCCAUAUUGGUGGAGCAGCGCUGCGCUGCAUGCAAGUGACAGAUAACCGCAAAAAGGAGGAAGCAAAGCGCAAAAGUUUCGUUGCGUUUGAAUCGUUUUAAUUCCGACUGCCCGGAAUACAUUUACGGAACCUGAAACAUCUUUCCAGCAGCUAAAUAGUUGAUACUUCUGUUCAAGACUUGAUAAGAACAAGGCAAAAAUAAAUGUUUCAAAUGUUAGUUUCCGGAUCCAGCUAGUGUCCAUGGCCGGUGGUUGUGCUGGAGACAGAAUCCAAGAAUUGGACUGCUUCUGCUUUCAUCCAGGUUUCAGUACAGCUGGUCCAGGUAAUGCGAUACGGUCCCAAACGUGAACAAAACAUACGCCGCUAGUUUGAGAUUGACCAAAUAUUCUAAGUUCAAAGAUGAAAUAUCGUUCAGAUUUUCUUCACAUCAUUAAAUUCGUGAAACACACUAGCCAGGCUUGGGUGGCCAUGUACCGGAUUCCUAAAGUUUACACUUCAAUGGAAACAAGGAAUCUUCCAGUGAGAGAAAACCAGGAAAUAAAGGUGAGAAAUGGUUGUAAGAAGAACGUGGAUCGCUGCCCGGCUGCACUUUCCGAAGAAAAAUGCCAUUUCUUAAGUCGUUGGGUAAGUUAGGAUAAAAUGAAAGAUUUAAGGAAAACUAAACUUAAUUAUAUGAGGGGUAGGUUUAGGAUAUUAUUCAAUGUAAUCAGCGAUGUGCCAUUUUAUG
Molecule: long non-coding RNA, 1286 nt
Organism: Uranotaenia lowii
Lineage: Eukaryota; Metazoa; Arthropoda; Insecta; Diptera; Culicidae
Exons: 4
Source: RefSeq, a predicted model, not a curated record